This 75-nucleotide transfer RNA is filed under the name uncultured archaeon. Its description in RNAcentral is "tRNA-Arg(acg)". It matches the Rfam family "tRNA". From Rfam's summary of the family: Transfer RNA (tRNA) molecules are approximately 80 nucleotides in length. Their secondary structure includes four short double-helical elements and three loops (D, anti-codon, and T loops). Further hydrogen bonds mediate the characteristic L-shaped molecular structure. tRNAs have two regions of fundamental functional importance: the anti-codon, which is responsible for specific mRNA codon recognition, and the 3' end, to which the tRNAs corresponding amino acid is attached (by aminoacyl-tRNA synthetases). tRNAs cope with the degeneracy of the genetic code in two manners: having more than one tRNA (with a specific anti-codon) for a particular amino acid; and 'wobble' base-pairing, i.e. permitting non-standard base-pairing at the 3rd anti-codon position. The record is from RNAcentral.
ACCCUCCUCGUUCAACGGACAGGACACCUCGCUACGGACGAGGAGACUGGGGUUCGAUUCCCUAGGAGGGUACCA